This 1714-nucleotide ribosomal RNA is filed under the name Escherichia coli. Its description in RNAcentral is "partial 23S ribosomal RNA". It matches the Rfam family "Bacterial large subunit ribosomal RNA", at positions 1234 to 2925 of the family's 2925-position model. Lineage: Bacteria; Pseudomonadati; Pseudomonadota; Gammaproteobacteria; Enterobacterales; Enterobacteriaceae. The record is from RNAcentral.
GAGCGUUCUGUAAGCCUGUGAAGGUGGCCUGUGAGGGUUGCUGGAGGUAUCAGAAGUGCGAAUGCUGACAUAAGUAACGAUAAAGCGGGUGAAAAGCCCGCUCGCCGGAAGACCAAGGGUUCCUGUCCAACGUUAAUCGGGGCAGGGUGAGUCGACCCCUAAGGCGAGGCCGAAAGGCGUAGUCGAUGGGAAACAGGUUAAUAUUCCUGUACUUGGUGUUACUGCGAAGGGGGGACGGAGAAGGCUAUGUUGGCCGGGCGACGGUUGUCCCGGUUUAAGCGUGUAGGCUGGUUUUCCAGGCAAAUCCGGAAAAUCAAGGCUGAGGCGUGAUGACGAGGCACUACGGUGCUGAAGCGACAAAUGCCCUGCUUCCAGGAAAAGCCUCUAAGCAUCAGGUAACAUCAAAUCGUACCCCAAACCGACACAGGUGGUCAGGUAGAGAAUACCAAGGCGCUUGAGAGAACUCGGGUGAAGGAACUAGGCAAAAUGGUGCCGUAACUUCGGGAGAAGGCACGCUGAUAUGUAGGUGAAGCGACUUGCUCGUGGAGCUGAAAUCAGUCGAAGAUACCAGCUGGCUGCAACUGUUUAUUAAAAACACAGCACUGUGCAAACACGAAAGUGGACGUAUACGGUGUGACGCCUGCCCGGUGCCGGAAGGUUAAUUGAUGGGGUUAGCGGUAACGCGAAGCUCUUGAUCGAAGCCCCGGUAAACGGCGGCCGUAACUAUAACGGUCCUAAGGUAGCGAAAUUCCUUGUCGGGUAAGUUCCGACCUGCACGAAUGGCGUAAUGAUGGCCAGGCUGUCUCCACCCGAGACUCAGUGAAAUUGAACUCGCUGUGAAGAUGCAGUGUACCCGCGGCAAGACGGAAAGACCCCGUGAACCUUUACUAUAGCUUGACACUGAACAUUGAGCCUUGAUGUGUAGGAUAGGUGGGAGGCUUUGAAGUGUGGACGCCAGUCUGCAUGGAGCCGACCUUGAAAUACCACCCUUUAAUGUUUGAUGUUCUAACGUGGGCCCCUUACCGGGGUUGCGGACAGUGUCUGGUGGGUAGUUUGACUGGGGCGGUCUCCUCCUAAAGAGUAACGGAGGAGCACGAAGGUUGGCUAAUCCUGGUCGGACAUCAGGAGGUUAGUGCAAUGGCAUAAGCCAGCUUGACUGCGAGCGUGACGGCGCGAGCAGGUGCGAAAGCAGGUCAUAGUGAUCCGGUGGUUCUGAAUGGAAGGGCCAUCGCUCAACGGAUAAAAGGUACUCCGGGGAUAACAGGCUGAUACCGCCCAAGAGUUCAUAUCGACGGCGGUGUUUGGCACCUCGAUGUCGGCUCAUCACAUCCUGGGGCUGAAGUAGGUCCCAAGGGUAUGGCUGUUCGCCAUUUAAAGUGGUACGCGAGCUGGGUUUAGAACGUCGUGAGACAGUUCGGUCCCUAUCUGCCGUGGGCGCUGGAGAACUGAGGGGGGCUGCUCCUAGUACGAGAGGACCGGAGUGGACGCAUCACUGGUGUUCGGGUUGUCAUGCCAAUGGCACUGCCCGGUAGCUAAAUGCGGAAGAGAUAAGUGCUGAAAGCAUCUAAGCACGAAACUUGCCCCGAGAUGAGUUCUCCCUGACUCCUUGAGAGUCCUGAAGGAACGUUGAAGACGACGACGUUGAUAGGCCGGGUGUGUAAGCGCAGCGAUGCGUUGAGCUAACCGGUACUAAUGAACCGUGAGGCUUAACCUU